RNAcentral lists this non-coding RNA (30 nucleotides) under Mus musculus (house mouse). The record is from RNAcentral. Lineage: Eukaryota; Metazoa; Chordata; Mammalia; Rodentia; Muridae.
UUGGAACCAGAAGCAGUAUGAGUGGCUUUC